Molecule: ribosomal RNA, 653 nt
Filed under: Rhodobacter sp. JA967
Lineage: Bacteria; Pseudomonadati; Pseudomonadota; Alphaproteobacteria; Rhodobacterales
Description: bacterial SSU rRNA
Rfam family: Bacterial small subunit ribosomal RNA
Source: RNAcentral
CGGCGGACGGGUGAGUAACGCGUGGGAACGUGCCCUUUGCUUCGGAAUAGCCCCGGGAAACUGGGAGUAAUACCGAAUGUGCCCUACGGGGGAAAGAUUUAUCGGCAAAGGAUCGGCCCGCGUUGGAUUAGGUAGUUGGUGGGGUAAUGGCCUACCAAGCCGACGAUCCAUAGCUGGUUUGAGAGGAUGAUCAGCCACACUGGGACUGAGACACGGCCCAGACUCCUACGGGAGGCAGCAGUGGGGAAUCUUAGACAAUGGGCGCAAGCCUGAUCUAGCCAUGCCGCGUGAUCGAUGAAGGCCUUAGGGUUGUAAAGAUCUUUCAGGUGGGAAGAUAAUGACGGUACCACCAGAAGAAGCCCCGGCUAACUCCGUGCCAGCAGCCGCGGUAAUACGGAGGGGGCUAGCGUUAUUCGGAAUUACUGGGCGUAAAGCGCACGUAGGCGGAUCGGAAAGUCAGAGGUGAAAUCCCAGGGCUCAACCCUGGAACUGCCUUUGAAACUCCCGAUCUUGAGGUCGAGAGAGGUGAGUGGAAUUCCGAGUGUAGAGGUGAAAUUCGUAGAUAUUCGGAGGAACACCAGUGGCGAAGGCGGCUCACUGGCUCGAUACUGACGCUGAGGUGCGAAAGCGUGAGGAGCAAACAGGAUUAGAUA